This 75-nucleotide transfer RNA is filed under the name Candidatus Angelobacter sp. Gp1-AA117. RNAcentral's name for it is "Acidobacteriia bacterium AA117 tRNA-Thr". It matches the Rfam family "tRNA". From Rfam's summary of the family: Transfer RNA (tRNA) molecules are approximately 80 nucleotides in length. Their secondary structure includes four short double-helical elements and three loops (D, anti-codon, and T loops). Lineage: Bacteria; Pseudomonadati; Acidobacteriota; Terriglobia. The record is from RNAcentral.
GCUGGUGUAGCUCAGUGGGAAGAGCGCGGGCCUCGUAAGUCCGUGAUCGGCGUUCGAAUCGCCGCGCCAACUCCG